This 73-nucleotide transfer RNA is filed under the name Hirtitermes hirtiventris. Its description in RNAcentral is "tRNA-Ser". Lineage: Eukaryota; Metazoa; Arthropoda; Insecta; Blattodea; Termitidae. The record is from RNAcentral.
AGUUAAAAAGCUACACUGAUUAGCCUAAUGUCUUGAAAACAUUAUGAAAGAAGUUUAAAUCUUCUAUUAACUU